Molecule: long non-coding RNA, 607 nt
Organism: Ostrea edulis (European flat oyster)
Lineage: Eukaryota; Metazoa; Mollusca; Bivalvia; Ostreida; Ostreidae
Exons: 3
Source: RefSeq, a predicted model, not a curated record
GGUUUUUCCAUGAUUACAUUAGCAAAUAAAAGUCCAGGUGAAUUUUUCUGCAUUUGCGUCGAGAAAGUGAAAGAGAAUUAUCUGCUUUUCUGAUUGAAAAAAUUGUCUUUUAAACAGGGAAAUAACAACAAAAAUGCGUGUCUUAAUCAUUUACACUAUUUUGUUGUUUGUGAAUCUUCUAAUCGGAUGCGGAAGGCUGGCACAGUUCCAAAGUGCAAUCCAUUCUGCCACACCAAAAGUUUCAGGGCUAAGAUUUCAGCGUUUAGUUCAUAGGGAAAGCACACAGCUUGACAGAAAUGUACAAGAUCCAUGGCACAGGAACGAAUUUACAAAUCUACGGAUAAUCAACGUUUCCGUUACCAACGCACUGUGUGCCUUUUGUGAGAAUUACGCUAGAUAUAGAUAUUUUUGUAGAGGAAAGUUGUGCUCCAUGCAAAGCAAUUCGAAGUCUACUAUGUUAGUUUAAGAUUUUAUUUCGCCUUCUGUACAUAUUUAAGCACGUUCAAUAUUUCCUAUAAUUAAAAAAUAUAUAUAAGGGCCUACAUACAUAUAAUCAGAUGUCAUUAAUGUACUAUGUAUACGCAAUAAAGUAUAUUUACCUUUGUAA